AUAUCAAUAAGCGGAGGAAAAGAAACUAACCAGGAUUCCCCUAGUAACGGCGAGCGAACCGGGAAUAGCCCAACUUGAAAAUCUCCUGUCUUCGGCAGGUGAAUUGUAGUCUAUAGAUCCGUUCUCUGCGUCCAGGUCGGCCCAAGUUCCCUGGAAAGGGACGUCGUAGAGGGUGAGAGCCCCGUAGGCCGGCUGGUGAUGCUCCACGAGGCGGAAUCAAAGAGUCGGGUUGUUUGGGAUUGCAGCCCAAAGUAGGUGGUGAAUCCCAUCUAAGGCUAAAUAAGGGCGAGAGACCGAUAGCGCACAAGUA
RNAcentral lists this ribosomal RNA (310 nucleotides) under uncultured eukaryote. Its description in RNAcentral is "partial large subunit ribosomal RNA". It matches the Rfam family "Eukaryotic large subunit ribosomal RNA", at positions 40 to 350 of the family's 3401-position model. The record is from RNAcentral.